GCCUAGUCUAUGGUGCUAUAAGUACUUCUGGUUAAUUUCAUCUCUGGAUCUCUUUUGGCCUACGGCACUCACUAUUUACUCAUUUAGGUUCACAUUCGUAUUAACAUGCAAGUGAUAAAGACUGUCAAUUAAAAGAUCUCAUACAAGUAAUUUAUUUCAUAAAUAAAUAGAAUAAAAAUCUUUAUUGAAAUAAAUUUUAAAACCUUC
This 207-nucleotide long non-coding RNA is filed under the name Elaeis guineensis (African oil palm). Its description in RNAcentral is "long non-coding RNA (EGUI_LNC080554)". Lineage: Eukaryota; Viridiplantae; Streptophyta; Magnoliopsida; Arecales; Arecaceae. The record is from RNAcentral.